CCUACGGGAGGCUGCAGUGGGGAAUAUUGGACAAUGGGGGCAACCCAGAUCCAGCCAUGUCGCGUGUGUGAAGAAGGCCCUCGGGUUGUAAAGCACUUUCAGUGAGGAAGAACGCCUGGUGGUUAAUACCCAUCAGGAAAGACAUCACUCACAGAAGAAGCACCGGCUAACUCCGUGCCAGCAGCCGCGGUAAUACGGAGGGUGCGAGCGUUAAUCGGAAUUACUGGGCGUAAAGCGCGCGUAGGUGGCUUGAUAAGCCGGUUGUGAAAGCCCCGGGCUCAACCUGGGAACGGCAUCCGGAACUGUCAAGCUAGAGUGCAGGAGAGGAAGGUAGAAUUCCCGGUGUAGCGGUGAAAUGCGUAGAGAUCGGGAGGAAUACCAGUGGCGAAGGCGGCCUUCUGGACUGACACUGACACUGAGGUGCGAAAGCGUGGGUAGCAAACAGGAUUAGAUACCCCAGUAGUC
Molecule: ribosomal RNA, 465 nt
Filed under: Vreelandella stevensii
Lineage: Bacteria; Pseudomonadati; Pseudomonadota; Gammaproteobacteria; Oceanospirillales; Halomonadaceae
Description: partial 16S ribosomal RNA
Rfam family: Bacterial small subunit ribosomal RNA
Source: RNAcentral